This 73-nucleotide transfer RNA is filed under the name Stegodyphus mimosarum. It matches the Rfam family "tRNA". From Rfam's summary of the family: Transfer RNA (tRNA) molecules are approximately 80 nucleotides in length. The record is from Rfam by way of RNAcentral. Lineage: Eukaryota; Metazoa; Arthropoda; Arachnida; Araneae; Eresidae.
GCUUUCGCGGUGCAAUGGUCAGCACACUCGGCGUGUAUUCGAGAGAUCGGAGGUUCGAGUCCCGGCGAGGGCA